AUACGGAGGGUGCAAGCGUUAUUCGGAAUCACUGGGCGUAAAGGACGCGUAGGCGGGUUGGCAAGUCAGAUGUGAAAUCCUACAGCUUAACUGUAGAACUGCAUUUGAAACUGCUAACCUAGAGUAUGGGAGGGGGAGAUGGAAUUAGUGGUGUAGGGGUAAAAUCCGUAGAUAUCACUAGGAAUACCGAAAGCGAAGGCGAUCUCCUGGAACAUAACUGACGCUAUGGCGUGAAAGCGUGGGGAGCAAACAGGAUUAGAAACCCUAGUAGUCC
Molecule: ribosomal RNA, 274 nt
Filed under: uncultured bacterium
Lineage: Bacteria
Description: partial 16S ribosomal RNA
Rfam family: Bacterial small subunit ribosomal RNA
Source: RNAcentral